AACUAACGCUGGCGGCGUGCCUAACACAUGCAAGUCGUACGAGAAAGCCGGCUUCGGCUGGUGAGUAAAGUGGCGCACGGGUGAGUAACGCGUGGAUAAUCUGCCCUUAAGUGUGGAAUAACGUACCGAAAGGUGCGCUAAUACCGCAUAAUGCCUGGCAACACAAGUUGUCCGGCCGAAGAAGGCCUCUGUUUACAAGCUUUCGCUUCAGGAUGAGUCCGCGUACCAUUAGCUUGUUGGUGGGGUAAUGGCCUACCAAGGCUGCGAUGGUUAGCUGGUCUGAGAGGAUGAUCAGCCACACUGGAACUGAGACACGGUCCAGACUCCUACGGGAGGCAGCAGUGAGGAAUAUUGCGCAAUGGGGGCAACCCUGACGCAGCAACGCCGCGUGAGUGAGGAAGGUUUUCGGACUGUAAAGCUCUGUCGAGCGGGAAGAAGUGUACCAUGGCUAAUAUCCAUGAUAUUUGACGGUACCGCUAGAGG
This 483-nucleotide ribosomal RNA is filed under the name uncultured bacterium. Its description in RNAcentral is "bacterial SSU rRNA". It matches the Rfam family "Bacterial small subunit ribosomal RNA", at positions 29 to 487 of the family's 1533-position model. The record is from RNAcentral.